Molecule: ribosomal RNA, 495 nt
Filed under: uncultured bacterium
Lineage: Bacteria
Description: partial 16S ribosomal RNA
Rfam family: Bacterial small subunit ribosomal RNA
Source: RNAcentral
GAUGAACGCUGGCGGCGUGCCUAAUACAUGCAAGUAGAACGCUGAAGGAGGAGCUUGCUCUUCUGGAUGAGUUGCGAACGGGUGAGUAACGUGUAGGUAACCUGCCUGGUAGCGGGGGAUAACUAUUGGAAACGAUAGCUAAUACCGCAUGACAACAGUUAUUGCAUGAUAACUGUUUAAAAGGGGCAACUGCUCCACUACCAGAUGGACCUGCGUUGUAUUAGCUAGUUGGUGAGGUAACGGCUCACCAAGGCGACGAUACAUAGCCGACCUGAGAGGGUGAUCGGCCACACUGGGACUGAGACACGGCCCAGACUCCUACGGGAGGCAGCAGUAGGGAAUCUUCGGCAAUGGACGGAAGUCUGACCGAGCAACGCCGCGUGAGUGAAGAAGGUUUUCGGAUCGUAAAGCUCUGUUGUAAGAGAAGAACGAGUGUGAGAGUGGAAAGUUCACACUGUGACGGUAUCUUACCAGAAAGGGACGGCUAACUACGUG